This 217-nucleotide long non-coding RNA is filed under the name Elaeis guineensis (African oil palm). RNAcentral describes it as "long non-coding RNA (EGUI_LNC049226)". Lineage: Eukaryota; Viridiplantae; Streptophyta; Magnoliopsida; Arecales; Arecaceae. The record is from RNAcentral.
UUUAGUUGGAUUUAAAUUAGUCUAAUUGGGCCUAACUUAUUUGGUUCAAUUAGGUUGGUUUAAAUAAUGAAACCACCUUGACCUAUUCUCCCUGCGCCACCUCACUUCCACUGCGCCCAUUUGAAUUCACGAGAAGGAAGUUCUCAUGAAUUUUUCCUCAUGCAAAGCCCUCCUCACGCCCUACUUUAAUGCACCAAAUGAGUGGAUAAGGAUGAUU